Molecule: ribosomal RNA, 439 nt
Filed under: uncultured bacterium
Lineage: Bacteria
Description: partial 16S ribosomal RNA
Rfam family: Bacterial small subunit ribosomal RNA
Source: RNAcentral
CUACGGGGCGCAGCAGUGAGGAAUAUUGCACAAUGGGGGAAACCCUGAUGCAGCAACGCCGCGUGGAGGAUGACGCAUUUCGGUGUGUAAACUCCUUUUAUCAGAGAAGAAAAUGACGGUAUCUGAUGAAUAAGCUCCGGCUAACUCCGUGCCAGCAGCCGCGGUAAUACGGAGGGAGCAAGCGUUAUUCGGAAUCACUGGGCGUAAAGGACGCGUAGGCGGGUUUUUAAGUCAGGUGUGAAAUCCUAUGGCUCAACCAUAGAACUGCACUUGAAACUGGGGACCUAGAGUAUGGAAGGGGCAGGUGGAAUUAGUGGUGUAGGGGUAAAAUCCGUAGAUAUCACUAGGAAUACCGAAAGCGAAGGCGACCUGCUGGGACAUUACUGACGCUGAGGCGUGAAAGCGUGGGGAGCAAACAGGAUUAGAUACUCUGGUAGUC